Molecule: ribosomal RNA, 465 nt
Filed under: Vreelandella stevensii
Lineage: Bacteria; Pseudomonadati; Pseudomonadota; Gammaproteobacteria; Oceanospirillales; Halomonadaceae
Description: partial 16S ribosomal RNA
Rfam family: Bacterial small subunit ribosomal RNA
Source: RNAcentral
CCUACGGGGGGCUGCAGUGGGGAAUAUUGGACAAUGGGCGAAAGCCUGAUCCAGCCAUGCCGCGUGUGUGAAGAAGGCCUUCGGGUUGUAAAGCACUUUCAGUGGGGAAGAAAGCCUUGGGGCUAAUACCCUCGAGGAAGGACAUCACCCACAGAAGAAGCACCGGCUAACUCCGUGCCAGCAGCCGCGGUAAUACGGAGGGUGCGAGCGUUAAUCGGAAUUACUGGGCGUAAAGCGCGCGUAGGCGGUCUGAUAAGCCGGUUGUGAAAGCCCCGGGCUCAACCUGGGAACGGCAUCCGGAACUGUCAGGCUAGAGUGCAGGAGAGGAAGGUAGAAUUCCCGGUGUAGCGGUGAAAUGCGUAGAGAUCGGGAGGAAUACCAGUGGCGAAGGCGGCCUUCUGGACUGACACUGACGCUGAGGUGCGAAAGCGUGGGUAGCAAACAGGAUUAGAUGCCCUAGUAGUC